Molecule: ribosomal RNA, 441 nt
Filed under: uncultured bacterium
Lineage: Bacteria
Description: partial 16S ribosomal RNA
Rfam family: Bacterial small subunit ribosomal RNA
Source: RNAcentral
CCUACGGGAGGCAGCAGUAGGGAAUUUUGCGCAAUGGGGGAAACCCUGACGCAGCAACGCCGCGUGAUCGAUGAAGCCCUUCUGGGUGUAAAGAUCUGUCAGUGGGGACGAAACCUGACGGUACCCACAGAGGAAGCACCGGCUAACUCCGUGCCAGCAGCCGCGGUAAUACGGGGGGUGCAAGCGUUGUCCGGAAUCAUUGGGCGUAAAGAGUUCGUAGGUGGCACGUUAAGUCUGGUGUUAAAGGCGGAAGCUCAACUUCCGUAGGGCACUGGUUACUGGCGAGCUGGAAUGCGGUAGAGAGAAAGGGAAUUCCGGGUGUAGCGGUGAAAUGUGGAGAUAGCAGGAGGAACAGCGGUGGCGUAAGCGCUUAACUGGGCCGUAAUUGACACUGAGGAACGAAAGCCGGGGAAGCAAAUGGGAUUAGAGACCCUAGUAGUC